Molecule: transfer RNA, 72 nt
Filed under: Ictidomys tridecemlineatus (thirteen-lined ground squirrel)
Lineage: Eukaryota; Metazoa; Chordata; Mammalia; Rodentia; Sciuridae
Description: Spermophilus tridecemlineatus (thirteen-lined ground squirrel) tRNA
Rfam family: tRNA
About the family: Transfer RNA (tRNA) molecules are approximately 80 nucleotides in length.
Source: Rfam by way of RNAcentral
GGGGAUGUAACCCAGUGGUAGAGUGUUUGCCUAUCCUGUUCAAGGUCCUGGGUUCAAUCCCCAGUACCACCA